RNAcentral lists this transfer RNA (76 nucleotides) under candidate division TA06 bacterium. RNAcentral's name for it is "tRNA-Pro". It matches the Rfam family "tRNA". From Rfam's summary of the family: Transfer RNA (tRNA) molecules are approximately 80 nucleotides in length. Their secondary structure includes four short double-helical elements and three loops (D, anti-codon, and T loops). The record is from RNAcentral.
CGGGGUGUGGCGCAGUUGGUAGCGCGCUUGCUUUGGGAGCAAGAGGCCCCCAGUUCGAGUCUGGGCACCCCGACCA